CCCGCAACGAGCGCAACCCUUGAUCUUAGUUGCCAUCAUUAAGUUGGGCACUCUAAGGUGACUGCCGGUGACAAACCGGAGGAAGGUGGGGAUGACGUCAAAUCAUCAUGCCCCUUAUGACCUGGGCUACACACGUGCUACAAUGGACGGUACAAAGAGCUGCAAGACCGCGAGGUGGAGCUAAUCUCAUAAAACCGUUCUCAGUUCGGAUUGUAGGCUGCAACUCGCCUACAUGAAGCUGGAAUCGCUAGUAAUCGCGGAUCAGCAUGCCGCGGUGAAUACGUU
RNAcentral lists this ribosomal RNA (285 nucleotides) under Bacillus sp. January_TSA3E3. RNAcentral describes it as "partial 16S ribosomal RNA". It matches the Rfam family "Bacterial small subunit ribosomal RNA", at positions 1086 to 1372 of the family's 1533-position model. The record is from RNAcentral. Lineage: Bacteria; Bacillati; Bacillota; Bacilli; Caryophanales; Bacillaceae.